Molecule: ribosomal RNA, 25 nt
Filed under: Saprolegnia delica
Lineage: Eukaryota; Oomycota; Saprolegniomycetes; Saprolegniales; Saprolegniaceae
Description: partial 18S ribosomal RNA
Source: RNAcentral
AGGUGAACNUGCGGAAGGAUCAUUA